GCAUUGGUGGUUCAGAGGUAGAAUUCUCACCUCCCAGGCAGGAGAUCUGGGUUCACUUCCUGGCCAUUGCA
RNAcentral lists this transfer RNA (71 nucleotides) under Loxodonta africana (African savanna elephant). It matches the Rfam family "tRNA". From Rfam's summary of the family: Transfer RNA (tRNA) molecules are approximately 80 nucleotides in length. Their secondary structure includes four short double-helical elements and three loops (D, anti-codon, and T loops). Further hydrogen bonds mediate the characteristic L-shaped molecular structure. tRNAs have two regions of fundamental functional importance: the anti-codon, which is responsible for specific mRNA codon recognition, and the 3' end, to which the tRNAs corresponding amino acid is attached (by aminoacyl-tRNA synthetases). tRNAs cope with the degeneracy of the genetic code in two manners: having more than one tRNA (with a specific anti-codon) for a particular amino acid; and 'wobble' base-pairing, i.e. permitting non-standard base-pairing at the 3rd anti-codon position. The record is from Rfam by way of RNAcentral. Lineage: Eukaryota; Metazoa; Chordata; Mammalia; Proboscidea; Elephantidae.